This 76-nucleotide transfer RNA is filed under the name marine actinobacterium MedAcidi-G1. RNAcentral's name for it is "tRNA-Trp". It matches the Rfam family "tRNA". From Rfam's summary of the family: Transfer RNA (tRNA) molecules are approximately 80 nucleotides in length. The record is from RNAcentral. RNAcentral also lists the same sequence under 3 other names. Lineage: Bacteria; Bacillati; Actinomycetota; Actinomycetes.
AGGGCAGUGGCUCAAUUGGUAGAGCACCGGUCUCCAAAACCGGCGGUUGGGGGUUCAAGUCCCUCCUGCCCUGCCA